RNAcentral lists this ribosomal RNA (465 nucleotides) under Vreelandella stevensii. RNAcentral describes it as "partial 16S ribosomal RNA". It matches the Rfam family "Bacterial small subunit ribosomal RNA", at positions 338 to 795 of the family's 1533-position model. The record is from RNAcentral. Lineage: Bacteria; Pseudomonadati; Pseudomonadota; Gammaproteobacteria; Oceanospirillales; Halomonadaceae.
CCUACGGGUGGCAGCAGUGGGGAAUAUUGGACAAUGGGGGCAACCCUGAUCCAGCCAUGCCGCGUGUGUGAAGAAGGCCCUCGGGUUGUAAAGCACUUUCAGUGAGGAAGAACGCCUGGUGGUUAAUACCCAUCAGGAAAGACAUCACUCACAGAAGAAGCACCGGCUAACUCCGUGCCAGCAGCCGCGGUAAUACGGAGGGUGCGAGCGUUAAUCGGAAUUACUGGGCGUAAAGCGCGCGUAGGUGGCUUGAUAAGCCGGUUGUGAAAGCCCCGGGCUCAACCUGGGAACGGCAUCCGGAACUGUCAAGCUAGAGCGCAGGAGAGGAAGGUAGAAUUCCCGGUGUAGCGGUGAAAUGCGUAGAGAUCGGGAGGAAUACCAGUGGCGAAGGCGGCCUUCUGGACUGACACUGACACUGAGGUGCGAAAGCGUGGGUAGCAAACAGGAUUAGAUACCCUGGUAGUC